Delphinapterus leucas (beluga whale) is the source of this 250-nucleotide non-coding RNA. Lineage: Eukaryota; Metazoa; Chordata; Mammalia; Artiodactyla; Monodontidae. The record is from RefSeq and is a predicted model, not a curated record.
CCAGCUUGCAGGAUGGACCAAAGUGGGCAGGUGGGUGAGGCCCCAACACUGCAACAAAAUAUGUCUCUACCGGAUGCAAAUCACAAGCUCAGGGACUCCUUCCAGCCCCCUGAUGCUGAGCCAGCUCCUGCCUUCCAGACAGAUCUAGGACCUGACAAUCCUGCUCAGAGAUGGUAGUUCCUGCGGAGACCCUCACUUGCCCUGCUCUUCUGUAGCUUCCUUGCAAUAAAGUCAAGUCGAUUUUGCUGGA